CUUCGGCUCAGGUCAUGAUCUCACGGUUGGUGAGUUCCAGCCCCGCGUCGGGCUCUGUGCUGACAGCUGGGAGCCUGGAGCUGCUUCGGAUUCUGUGUCUCCCUCUCUCUCUGCGGAGUAUGCUUCAGAGCGUCUCUUGCUAAUUUUCAGUUACAACUUAGCUUUGUUUUCUGUGUGUGCCACGUCCCGUUCUCGGCACCUGCGUGUGAGCCCAGGGGACUCUCCCUCCCACAGGCAGAGAGAGCAGGUGUGACGAUUAUCAUACCCAUUUUGCAGAUGGAGAAACAGACCUGAUGCUGGAGUGUCUCCCUUGUGUGCUAACAGCCGCGGGUGGCGUCUGGGUCUGGCACACGCUGACCCUCGAGCCGGUUACCUGCGUGCCUCUCUGCUUGGUCCCCAUCGCAGUUUCGAACUUAACAGACUGCUUCUGUAUAACUCAUCUUGAAUUUCUGUCCUGCGGUGUUUGCCCACGGUCUAGAGCAGGGAUUCUUAACGGGACCGCACAUCCCAGGGCACACGGAUCCUCGCUCCCCAGGGACACUUGUUUGGAGUCCUUGGGGCCAUUUCUCCGCACUGCUUCAGACUCCCCCAUCACAUGCGAGCUCCGGACGUCUGCGGGUGUGCGGUGCGGCUGCGGUUCCGCGGGGCAGUGAGCGCGUCAGGCCGGCACCGUGCACCCGCACCUCCAGCCGGUCGUUCGUGGCCUUGGCCGUGACCGCCCGAGCCCGGGGGCCGCUUCAGACCUUGGGAUGUAGCUGUCUCGUUGCCCACCUCUUUGUCCCGCGCCCCUGCCUCCGUUCCCGACCUGGGUUCUCUGCGCCGGUGAGCAGGGCCAGGCCAGCCUCAGCACGAUGGCGACUGCCCCGGUCACACAGCCACCGAGCGGCCGGCUUGCGGCCUGAACCUUUCUGUGCUCCAAGCCGCGUUCUUGGCCGUGCACGAUUUUUUCACUCCAUCCUCCCAUUGUACAAAACGCGUGCGUGGCCGAGCUUCCCGUCUUGUGUUGCCCACACCCGUGGCACCUGGUACUCUCGGGGUCCGUCACACGGCGCCCACUACCGCGACCCUCCGUGGGUCCACCUCACAUGUUGCCCUCUCCAAUGAGACUUUUCCUCCUCCGUCCGCCCAUGAGGCGUCCCCUCCCCUGCCUGGGGCCCAUCUCAGCACGGGGCCAGGGGUGAGGAUGAGUGCCCUCUGCCGGGUCUCUGUUUUGAGGGGGAGGACGGCGUCCUCUGCAUUCCCCUGGACUUUGGAGCACCCGCCGCUCCCUCGCAACGAGCAGUCAGUGGCGCCACCCCAAACGCCACGCACUAGGGCAAGUGAGCAAACACGGUGGGCGGGCUCUCUCUUGUUUUCCCGUUGUUGUUAGAAAUUCAGUUCUUUGGUCAUUGAGAGGCAGCAUAACCGUGAGGCCAGAGGACCCUACCUUUACAGUUGGGGACACAGCAGCGGGCCGUGGGGCAGGCCGCUGGGGGGGGUAUGGGCCCUCUCCCAGGGGGGCUCCCUGCUCGACUCCAGCCACUUCUGCCACGUGGGGAUUUAGGCCUGAUGGGGAUAGAUGGCCAGGCUUUUCCAGGAAAGCUGAAAACUGAGACUUUGUGCACUAUCGCAUAACUUUUAAACAUAGGCAACUGAUUAAAUAUUUCCAAUAUUUGUGGAAGCCAAAAUGAACGACCAAGAUCAAUAAACCGACAGAAAACAAGUCUGCAGGCGGUGGUUGGGAAGCUCUAGUCCCAAAGGCCCUCGUUGGACGUCAGAGAAGGAGUCUCCCUCCUCAAAGUGCCGACCCCUGGCUUCCGAAGAUUAGGUCUGGUAGUUAAAGAAGUUUGAACAACUUGAUGUAGCACAACUCCUUCAUGUCAGUGAUGAGGAAAGAGGCCCAGGAGGGGACAGACCGCCGAGAAGGUAGAAGAGUGUUCCUGAAGAGACAAGCCAUCUGGGAGACCUGGAGCCCAGUCCCGGCUCGAUGACUCUGGCCGUGUGGCUUCAGGCCGGUUGUGCGCUUCUCUGAACCUCCCUUUGCUUUCUUCAGAAGCAGCCUGGAGACUUUACUGCAGGCGCCCUCCUGGAAUCUGCGGCCCCAGGGACAUGGGCAAAAUGGAAAGGAUCUGCGAACUUGGACGGGAAGAUACUAUGUCUUCAAGCUUUUUACCUCUGUUUGCAUUUCCUUCAAUUAUGCAUAUUAGCACCAAAGUACAAUGGCAUUAGCACCUGUGAUUUUGUUACCGAGGCAAACAACCAAAACACUUUUCUGUCUCAUUACAGUUGCAGGUAUCUUGAGAUAAGGUUGAUACUCGUCACUUCAAAAUCACCAUAAAAGUUGCCCGUAGAUCUUGUUUAAUGCGUUCACAAAGGAGCAUGUAAUUCUAUAUCCCACCUCUAAAAUUAUUCUGAUAA
Felis catus (domestic cat) is the source of this 2397-nucleotide long non-coding RNA. RefSeq lists it as uncharacterized. NCBI's taxonomy places the organism in Eukaryota, Metazoa, Chordata, Mammalia, Carnivora, Felidae. The record is from RefSeq and is a predicted model, not a curated record. The transcript is spliced from 2 exons.